AGUAAAAGUCGUAACAAGGUCUCCGUUGGUGAACCAGCGGAGGGAUCAUUACAGAGUUAUCCAACUCCCAAACCCAUGUGAACUUAUCUCUUUGUUGCCUCGGCGCAAGCUACCCGGGACCUCGCGCCCCGGGGGGCCCGCCGGCGGACAAACCAAACUCUGUUAUCUUCGUUGAUUAUCUGAGUGUCUUAUUUAAUAAGUCAAAACUUUCAACAACGGAUCUCUUGGUUCUGGCAUCGAUGAAGAACGCAGCGAAAUGCGAUAAGUAAUGUGAAUUGCAGAAUUCAGUGAGUCAUCGAAUCUUUGAACGCACAUUGCGCCCAUUAGUAUUCUAGUGGGCAUGCCUGUUCGAGCGUCAUUUCAACCCCUAAGCACAGCUUAUUGUUGGGACUCUACGGCUUCGUAGUUCCCCAAAGACAUUGGCGGAGUGGCAGCAGUCCUCUGAGCGUAGUAAUUCUUUAUCUCGCUUUUGUUAGGCGCUGCCCCCCCGGCCGUAAAACCCCCAAUUUUUUCUGGUUGACCUCGGAUCAGGUAGGAAUACCCGCUGAACUUAAGCAUAUCAAUAAGCGGAGGAAAAGAAACCAACAGGGAUUGCCCCAGUAACG
RNAcentral lists this ribosomal RNA (605 nucleotides) under uncultured fungus. RNAcentral describes it as "eukaryotic LSU rRNA". The stretch from base 205 to 358 matches the Rfam family "5.8S ribosomal RNA". Lineage: Eukaryota; Fungi. The record is from RNAcentral.